This 26-nucleotide non-coding RNA is filed under the name Drosophila melanogaster (fruit fly). The record is from RNAcentral. Lineage: Eukaryota; Metazoa; Arthropoda; Insecta; Diptera; Drosophilidae.
UCCGACCACGAGCAGAGCAGCCAGAG